GAUGAACGCUGGCGGCGUGCCUAAUACAUGCAAGUCGAGCGAACGGACGAGAAGCUUGCUUCUCUGAUGUUAGCGGCGGACGGGUGAGUAACACGUGGAUAACCUACCUAUAAGACUGGGAUAACUUCGGGAAACCGGAGCUAAUACCGGAUGAUAUUUUGAACCGCAUGGUUCAAAAGUGAAAGACGGUCUUGCUGUCACUUAUAGAUGGAUCCGCGCUGCAUUAGCUAGUUGGUAAGGUAACGGCUUACCAAGGCAACGAUGCAUAGCCGACCUGAGAGGGUGAUCGGCCACACUGGAACUGAGACACGGUCCAGACUCCUACGGGAGGCAGCAGUAGGGAAUCUUCCGCAAUGGGCGAAAGCCUGACGGAGCAACGCCGCGUGAGUGAUGAAGGUCUUCGGAUCGUAAAACUCUGUUAUUAGGGAAGAACAAAUGUGUAAGUAACUAUGCACGUCUUGACGGUACCUAAUCAGAAAGCCACGGCUAACUACGUG
Molecule: ribosomal RNA, 497 nt
Filed under: uncultured bacterium
Lineage: Bacteria
Description: partial 16S ribosomal RNA
Rfam family: Bacterial small subunit ribosomal RNA
Source: RNAcentral